Molecule: unclassified non-coding RNA, 660 nt
Filed under: Hevea brasiliensis (rubber tree)
Lineage: Eukaryota; Viridiplantae; Streptophyta; Magnoliopsida; Malpighiales; Euphorbiaceae
Source: RNAcentral
GUUUAGUGGCUAUACCACACAAGUUAGAUAUCUUUACCAUAUCAUUCUAUGAUUCCCUUUUUGUUCCCUAUUCUUUGAUUGUUUGUUCUUACAUUCACUUGUUUGAUCCCUAUUCAUUUUACUGUCCAUUAAACGACCUACACACAUAUAUAUAAGAUAAAACUUUGGUUUGUUUAAUUUGUUUUUUUUCACUAAAUUAGCAGAACCGAAUUUUAAAAUAUUUUUUUAUUGAUUUUAUACUUUUUAUUGAAAACAUAAUUUUAAAAUAUUUUUAUUUUAAAAAAGCAUAUCAUUCAAAUAAAAUAUCUUAUUCAUUUAUAAAUUUUUAAAAAAUUUUCAUUAUGCUAACAGAAUUUAAUUAAUUAUUACUUUAAACUGAUUAAAUUCUUAUUGCGAUUAAUUUUUUAAUAUAUAAAUACAUAAAAAAUAAAGUUAGCUUCUCAAUUUAAGUUUAAUAGUUAAAUAAGCGUUUAAUAUUUUUUUUUAUGUCUGUACUCGAGAUUAAGUCAUUAAUAUUUACAAUGAAAUUGUUAUAUUGAUUUCUAUCACAGUUGAUUGUAUGAUCAGUUAUGGAGGAGAGAAAUCGAUAAUGCGAGCUGAUGUUGGAGGAGAGAUACUGACAAUAUGAGCAGAUGCUGGAGGAGCGCAUGCAAUAAAUAA